Molecule: microRNA, 22 nt
Filed under: Dasypus novemcinctus (nine-banded armadillo)
Lineage: Eukaryota; Metazoa; Chordata; Mammalia; Cingulata; Dasypodidae
Also listed under: 20 other names
Description: dno-miR-382-5p
Gene: dno-miR-382-5p
Source: miRBase by way of RNAcentral
GAAGUUGUUCGUGGUGGAUUCG